CACCGCGGUUAUACGAGUAACUUACAUUAAUAUUUCCCCGGCGUAAAGAGUGAUUUAAGGAAUAUCUACAUAACUAAAGUGAAGACCUAAUGAAGCUGUUACACGUACCCAUAAAUGGAAACAUCCACAACGAAAGUGACUUUACAUAACCAGAAAUCUUGAUGUCACGACAGUUAGACCC
Molecule: ribosomal RNA, 181 nt
Filed under: Mitsukurina owstoni (goblin shark)
Lineage: Eukaryota; Metazoa; Chordata; Chondrichthyes; Lamniformes; Mitsukurinidae
Description: partial 12S rRNA
Source: RNAcentral